CCUACGGGAGGCUGCAGUGGGGAAUAUUGGGCAAUGGGCGCAAGCCUGACCCAGCAACGCCGCGUGAAGGAAGAAGGCUUUCGGGUUGUAAACUUCUUUUGUCAGGGACGAAGCAAGUGACGGUACAUGACGAAUAAGCCACGGCUAACUACGUGCCAGCAGCCGCGGUAAUAAGUAGGUGGCAAGCGUUAUCCGGAUUUACUGGGGGUAACGGGCGUGUAGGGGGGGAGGCAAGUCAGAUGUGAAAACCACGGGCUCAACCUGUGGCCUGCAUUUGAAACUGUUUUUCUUGAGUGCUGGAGCGGCAAUCGGAAUUCCGUGUGUAGCGGUGAAAUGCGUAGAUAUACGGAGGAACACCAGUGGCGAAGGCGGAUUGCUUGACAGUAACUGACGCUGAGGCGCGAAAGCGUGGGGAGCAAACAGGAUUAGAUACCCGAGUAGUC
Molecule: ribosomal RNA, 443 nt
Filed under: uncultured bacterium
Lineage: Bacteria
Description: partial 16S ribosomal RNA
Rfam family: Bacterial small subunit ribosomal RNA
Source: RNAcentral